CUUUCCCCAAGGGUUCCGCAUUAGCCUAACCAAGACUUUCUCUGAGACUCUUAGUUAUUAUGAUGCUACUUCCACCAGCACCAGGGUUCUUGUUGCUAUCUGGCUGUUGAGUGAUUCAGUCCCACUGAGCAAUGUCAACCUGAUUGUCUUUCUUUGUUUUUAAGAAACAGGGUCUUGCUCUGCUGCCCAGGCUGGAGCACAGUAGUGUGAUCAUAGCUCACUACAGCCUUCAACUCCUGGGCCUUAGCAAUCCUCCUGCCUCAGCCUCCCAAGGAGCUAUGGCUGCAGGUAUCCGCCACCACUCAUUGACAGCCACUUCCAGUACUCACUGUCUUGGACACAGACUUGAGUAAAAGUACAGGGGCAAGAGGCCUGGAUGAAGAAAUACCCUCAGAAACUCCCACUCUUCUGGUUCCUGCUGAAGACUCCAGUAAUAAAAGUUAUUCAUACCUACCUCCACCAUCUUGGCUGGGAAGUCAAGGAAGAAGAUAGCAGCCCGCAACCCGGAAGAGGGCCCUCACCAGAACCUACCAUGCUGGCACCCAGACCUCAGACUUCCAGCCUCCAGAAAUGAGCUCCCUCUGCUGCAGGAACUCAACGAUAGGGAGGAAGAGUCCAGAAAAGUAGGGCUGUCAGCACCUCUGUGAGCAGCCGACGAUCCACAGCGGAUGGAGUUUGGUGGUAAAGGUACUCACUUCCUGUCUCUCUGGUGAUGAUUUUGAGCAUGUUCUACAAAGUCUUUCAGAUGGUCCCAGUAGGUUGGAGCCCAGCUGCCCUCAGUGGUAACCUGCCCAUUAACGUAUCCUGUGUUGGUUUCCUUUCCUCCCCUACCUCACCUCCCCACUCCCCUUUCUAUGAUUCCUAGAGUCACCUCCCAAAUAAACUUUCACAUUUACA
RNAcentral lists this long non-coding RNA (897 nucleotides) under Homo sapiens (human). RNAcentral's name for it is "long independently transcribed non-coding RNA 2507, transcript variant 6 (LINC02507)". The record is from RNAcentral. Lineage: Eukaryota; Metazoa; Chordata; Mammalia; Primates; Hominidae.